GCAAGAAGAUGCUCCCCACCCUUGGUCUUCAGACUGGAUGUAGCUCCCUUGCCCCUGGUACGUUGGAUGCUGCAGGACCCAACCAUCAUGGUACCCCUCCACUGCUCUCACUGAAGACAGAGGGUCAUUUCCAAGUGCAUACAGGCAGCCCUUGGAAAGUGCUUGUGUGAGAUGCAGUGGACCCUGG
Long non-coding RNA from Empidonax traillii (willow flycatcher), 187 nucleotides. RefSeq lists it as uncharacterized. Lineage: Eukaryota; Metazoa; Chordata; Aves; Passeriformes; Tyrannidae. The transcript is spliced from 2 exons. The record is from RefSeq and is a predicted model, not a curated record.